AACUGUUUAAUUAAAGCAAACAUCGCAAGGCCCGGAGGAGGACGUUGAAGCAAUGUGAUUUCGGUCCAGUGCUUGAAUACCAAAGUGAAGAAAUGUAAUGAAGCGCGGGUAAAUGGCAGGGGUAUCUAUGACUCUCUUAAGGUAGCCAAAUGCCCCUUUAUCUAAUCACAACUUUUCUUACAGUAACUCUCUGAGAAUUGCU
RNAcentral lists this non-coding RNA (202 nucleotides) under Cricetulus griseus (Chinese hamster). RNAcentral describes it as "Eukaryotic large subunit ribosomal RNA". It matches the Rfam family "Eukaryotic large subunit ribosomal RNA", at positions 2136 to 2328 of the family's 3401-position model. The record is from Rfam by way of RNAcentral. Lineage: Eukaryota; Metazoa; Chordata; Mammalia; Rodentia; Cricetidae.